GCGGGCGUAGUUCAGUGGCAGAACACAAGCCUUCCAAGCUUGAUACGUGAGUUCGAUUCUCAUCGCCCGCU
RNAcentral lists this transfer RNA (71 nucleotides) under Candidatus Omnitrophota bacterium. RNAcentral's name for it is "tRNA-Gly". It matches the Rfam family "tRNA". Rfam says of the family: Transfer RNA (tRNA) molecules are approximately 80 nucleotides in length. Their secondary structure includes four short double-helical elements and three loops (D, anti-codon, and T loops). The record is from RNAcentral. Lineage: Bacteria; Pseudomonadati; Candidatus Omnitrophota.